ACCGGUACAGUAACUGUUGUGAAAUCGCGAUUAAUUUUGUUAUUUUCGUGCGUUAUUAGAUUGGUGUCAACACGCUCCUGUUGUGGUAAGUACAGUUUCAAUAACAUGGAUUUAAAGCAGUUAAACUGACCAUUAAAAAACCUCAAGUUCAAUUGAAAGUGUGCAUUCUAACCGAAAACAACUCGGCGUUUGUACACUAUGGCCGUUUUUCCUAAAUUGCACCACGCCGAUUUUCCUAAAUUGCGCCACGUUUUCGAGCGGUGCAAUUUAAGCUUAUAAUUUUUUAUUUCAGAUGGCGAAUGCAGGAAGAAGAUACGGUCCAGAAUGUAGGAAAAAGUACGGCCUCUGGCUGGAAGAAGAUAUGGAGAGGGCUAUUAUUGUCCGGAAGGGCAAUUUACGAAACAGGCGCAUUUUAGGCAUACUGGUGGUGCAAUUUAGGGAUAAGGAAAAUUUUUUCGCUUUAUAUUUAUUAAUUACAUACACAUUUUUCAAAAUUUUCCAUAUCUUUUAAUGUGGACAUUAAUUCGUAAGAUAAGGGUUUGAAUACGCAUAAAAGUUUUCUUUUAAAACUUUUCAAGGCCAAGAAAUAAACGAAAGUUCUUAAGUGGCGCAAUUAGGCACACUUCCCCUAAAUUCUUCCGAUGAAAUUUUAAUUGUUUUCUAAGUUAAUAUAUAACAAAAAAAUUAAUAAUGCUG
This 696-nucleotide long non-coding RNA is filed under the name Androctonus crassicauda. Lineage: Eukaryota; Metazoa; Arthropoda; Arachnida; Scorpiones; Buthidae. The record is from RNAcentral.